GUUCUCAGGGUGUGCCUAAAGUUGCAACAACUUUUCUUCACCCCAUAUUGCAAGAUGUAUUGCUGGCAGUUGGAGUAAAACAGAGACUCGUUCACUCGGGUGCACGGAAAGCAAAGUUGAUAAAUUGGCUCUAGGUACCAAAUUACACAUAAAUUAAGUUUGAAGUUCUGCAGUCUGAGUUUGGCAGCUCAAAGUGGUGAUGGGAGUUAUGAAAAAGGAUACCUCACAUGUGCAUCUGUGGAAAGGCAAUCUUUGUUUCUAGCAGGUAAACUGUAAACAGGUAAACUGAAAACUUUUGAAUUGCAGUGCUAACAAAUAUCUUUUCUAAACAGGAAACUUCUUCAUUAAAUUGGUCUUAUACCUAAUAUUUCAUGGGUGUUGAAUUUUCUACUAGGUUAAGAAGAUGGUCUGGAUUUUGAAUUUCAGGCAUUCUCCUGAUUGUGCGAAUUAAAAGUUUAGGGAAUUGGAAAGAAGAGUUCAAUACUGACCCUUGUUGAUGUUAGCUGCUCUGAAAUGUCCUUGAAGAGGAUAAAUUUGUUCUUCACUACAUAAAAGAUUUUGAUAUCUCAAGGAAGCUAAAGAGAGAGAAAAAGAUACAAACAAAAUUAAGCUAUCAAUGGUACAGAAGGUUUUGAAUUAACCAUCGUACCUCUAGUGUCUCUUUCUUGGGUGCAGAAAUUUCUGCUGGAAUGGAGAAAGAAAAGUUUGCAUAAGAACCUGUCACAAAGACAAAUGGGCUUAAGAGGUAUAAGACCCAAAGUCAGUUCUGUUAAUACUUGGACUGUUUGGCAUAAAAUACAUCUUGGUAUCUCAUUUAAACAUCCCUCUGGAAAAAAAAAAGCUGUGGAAAUCAGAAGUGAUUGA
This 864-nucleotide long non-coding RNA is filed under the name Chloebia gouldiae (Gouldian finch). RNAcentral's name for it is "Erythrura gouldiae (Gouldian finch) lncRNA (ENSEGOG00005004255.1)". The record is from RNAcentral. Lineage: Eukaryota; Metazoa; Chordata; Aves; Passeriformes; Passeridae.